This 3783-nucleotide long non-coding RNA is filed under the name Pan paniscus (pygmy chimpanzee). Its description in RNAcentral is "lncRNA (ENSPPAG00000044729.1)". The record is from RNAcentral. Lineage: Eukaryota; Metazoa; Chordata; Mammalia; Primates; Hominidae.
GGUAUGAUGCAUUUCCUGACUGUGGUCGGCUUUCCAUGGGUGAAACAGAAAAGUCUUCAAAUAUCCUCACCAACUGCUUUCCUAGAUUUUUCAGCCAGUUACUUGACCAUAUUAGGAAAAGAAAGCAUACUACACCCAUCUCAGAGCUGGCCCCUUGAGGAAGCCACACCGCCACAGGAACCAUUGUAAUCUCUGCAUCAAGUUCAAGUUCACAAAUAAGCAAAGAGACUUGUGACAAAGAGCUAGGUGAAAACAGGGGAAAAAGGAGGAAAAUAAGGAAGCACCAGACUAAACCUGAAGAAAGGGGACAUUUAAAAAUUCUUCCUUUUGUGUUCAGAGCUCACAAUAUAGAAAAAGAUACGGUUAAAAAAAAGUCGUGAUGCUCAUAAAAAGCAACAUUUUAUUUUCAAACCAAUUACAUUAAUUAUACAAUUACCUUGUAGCCAGUAAGAAUCACAUAUAUAUGAAAGCAAAAUAUUGUUUAAUUGAAUAAAACAAUCUGACACAUAUGCCCAAAAAACAAUAGAGUAAAUAAGAGUUUCCCCAACAAUGGCAAAGAGAAUAAUUUUCAUGUUGAGUUUUAUUGAUCUCCGGAACAGUAGCUCCCCUAAGCAGAGAACCAUAACAGAAUUAAGGAAAGAUAUUUCCAUUCCAGAGACCAGACAUUUGGAGGACAUAAUUGAUUCUGAGAGAAAUUUCUCCAAGGAUUCCUGCAGUUCUCCUUUGAACAUACGAAGAGGGAACAUUCUUUCAGUCCUAGAAGUUGCUGAAGCAGAGAUGGAGAACCCCAGACUGGAGGGCUUUGAUUUCACCCUGCACAUCUAAGGGCACAAAUUGGUUCCAGGUCUUGGAAUGUGGCAUCAUGAAUUCUAUUCUGCUGUCUAUAGGAGACACAUGCCUGGAUAGAUGUUUGUUUUAAUAUCACUCUUCAGGAAGUUAGAGAAACAUUUAUUUCUUUUUCCUUAAGGCAUUGACUUUGGAACAAGUGUUUAGAUCUGUAAUUUUAGUGCCUGGCAUCUUGCCCCUGCUUAGGGGAAUGAUCGGGAAUGGGGUUGGGGAGGCUACAUACUUCCAUCAUCUGUUUAUCUAAUAAGCUACUUUCAUUCCAAUGUCAGCUGUAAUCUGAACUACCUUUCUUCCCUCUUUUCUAUUCCCCCAUUGUUACCUGUCCUCCAAAUGCUUUUCACUCAAUCCUCUUCAACUGCUCUAUUGAUGAAGAACUUUCACUUACACACACAAAAUUUUGCAUAGAAACUUCUGGGCUCUUGAAAGCACCUUGUGAUGUAGCAACCAUCUCAGAUCACUUUCUUGUAAACCCAGCAUAGAUUCCUGGUUCAUUACUUAGAAGACCCUGUGACCACCACUUCCAAGUUCUUUGCUUCCUUAUCUUUAUGCCAUAUUCUCAAUGAAGCCCCAUGUCUUUUUUCCUAUCAUUAUCUUGGAGUAUAUAGCAAGACCCCUGAAAGCAUCUUCAGACUCACAGACAUGAGCCUUAGCUGGGAUUUCAGUGGCGCUAGAAACUGUGAGAGCAUAGCUCUGGUUAGUGUCCUUCUGAAUGCCCCCUGGAGUAUCUUUGUAUAACUUCCUGUCACUCCUUGGAGACUUUUACUCACUCCAUUGCUGCCCCCCAGAAAUCUGAGAGGGCCACUUUGUCCUCUUCUUCACAAGGAAACUGACAUAUAAACUUGGUUAAGUUUCUCCCAUUUGAAAAACAAUUAGGCAACACUUGCUGGACCUCCAUCCAUCUCGAAACAUUUUUCUUUAUAAUUACUUUGCCCCUUGGUAGGAAAGUGUGAAAUAUUUGACUAGACUUAUUCAUUUCACAUUAUUUUCCCAACCAACUGAAUCUGACUGUCCUUAUGACUUCACUUUAUGGUAGAGGUUGUCUAUACUCCCUUAACUGCUGACUCCUAAAGAUGGUUGGAUAGAUAUAGAUAUAGAUAUAGAUAUAGAUAUAGUUAUAGAUAUAGAUAUUCUUUUCUCCUUUGACUUCUGAGCUGUUAAUGCCCCUUGCAAAUGUCUUUUUGAAUUUCUUCCUUCACUUGAGAUCUUUGACACUCAUUCUUUCCCAGCUGUUUUUUCUAUUCUCUUCCCCCUCUUAGUCUGCUUUAAUAGGGUCUCUUCUCCCACAUUUUAAAAUAUGGGAUUGCUAAUGACUCAUUGUCAGUUGUUUUCUUUGUUUUACACAGCAUCCUAGCAACUUUAUCUGCACUCCUGUGUUUGAUUACUAUCUACACACUUUGGCUGUCUCCUGUGGUGGUGAAUAGCUUGAGCUCAGGGAGCAAAGAACUUAAUUGGAAUUGUGAUGUUGCUGCUUCUUUCCUGAAUGCUCAUGAACAAGUCACUUCACAUCUUGUAACUUGGUUAUUUUAUUUGCUCCUCCCCAAUACCAUUGAACCACUUGAAUUUGUUCCACAGAGUAAAAACCAGAAAACAACUUUUCUAAUAUUCUUUUUUAUAACUGGGACUGAAAGAUACACCCAAGACUCUGUCAAUCUGACUACUUGUGUAAGCUCGGGAUUUUGGAACUAGAGACACAGACAAGCAGGAGCAUCUGGUUUGAGUGGGGUUAGGGACAUCCAGUUUCAGAUGCUUCAGUGGCAGAAGUUCUAGUAGUAGCAUCUGUGGUCUGGCUUUGGGGAGGAGAUUUUGGGUGCUUGGACAUCAGUGUGCAGUGGUGGCAAUAGGGCCAUCUCAAGGGGAGCACGGCCUCCAGUGAAUUUGCAGCCUUUGUACCUUGUGGUUUGCUGUGUAGAUUCUAAACCUCCUGUGACAGCAACAAGCUGACUAACUACCCUUAAUAGAUUUCUUUUCUGCUAAAAUAACUAACAUGGUUUUUCCACAAGAAGAUGCCAUUUCUUCCCUGUCUAAUGAGAAUGUUUCCCUAGAAUGGCUUUGCCAGGUGCAAAUACCUUGUAAGGGUAAAGAGGAUUCUCCUGAUGACAUCACAUCAUGGCAUCUCAUAAUUGUCAAUCAGUAAUGGCUAGAUCUUGUUAGUGACCCAUUUUUUGUUUUGUUUUGUUUUGUUUUAUGGUUCACGAGCUAAGGUUGGCUUUUAUGUUUUUAAGUGGUAUCAAUUUAAAUGGUUUUCAUAAGUGCCCACAUUAUAUCUUAGAUUUGGUCUCAUCUUAAAAUAUUUACUGUUUUGCUGUUUAAGAAAAAUUUCGCUGGUCCUUGAUCUAGGCUCUGAAGAAAGAAGUCUUAAAUUCCUGGAGGUAGAAACGAUGGAUUGGCUUUGUUCUUUACUACCUAACUACUUUUGGCUAAACUUGUCCCACAAAAGGGACUUCUUUCAUGCACUAUUAAUGUGGCUGCUAUUCAAAAUGCAGGGAGGGGGUAGUAUGUUUGGAACACAGGCACCCCAUGAGAUUGUCAUGUCCAAUGAUAAAAAUUUGUGAAAGAUUAUAAGCCAGUCAUUAAAGGGGUGUGCAAACAUGUAAAAAAAAAAAAAGAUUGUCGCAUUAAAAGUAGACCCUCUGGUUUCAGAUCUCUGAGGAAUAUGUUUGGGUUACGUCAACGGGUAAAGAACCUUAACCAAAUGAGCAGAUGGCUGAGGGUAAAACCAACAAACAAACAAAACAAAAACAUGGUUUACAUGAAGGAGGAGAAAUGUUAUAAAUUCUAAAUGCACCCUUGUGACUACUUGCAGUAUUUACACGUUUUUUUUCUUUCAUGUGUCAUGUAUGCAUUUGACUAUUCUAGCAUAUCUCCCCCUUUUGCUUUUUCUCUUUUAUAUAGGGUAUCUUCAUGGUGGGAAACUUUAUCUCUUAACUCAUAGUUUAC